UACGUAGGUGACCAGCGUUGUCCGGAUUUACUGGGCGUAAAGAGCGCGCAGGCGGUCGUUCAAGUCGAGUGUGAAAGCCCCCGGCUCAACUGGGGAGGGUCAUUCGAUACUGAUCGACUCGAAGGCAGGAGAGGGUAGUGGAAUUCCCGGUGUAGUGGUGAAUUGCGUAGAUAUUCGCAAGAACACCAGUGGCGAAGGCGGCUCACUGGCCCGGUACUGACGCUGAGGUGCGAAAGCGUGGGGAGCAAACAGG
Molecule: ribosomal RNA, 253 nt
Filed under: uncultured bacterium
Lineage: Bacteria
Description: partial 16S ribosomal RNA
Rfam family: Bacterial small subunit ribosomal RNA
Source: RNAcentral